This 1913-nucleotide long non-coding RNA is filed under the name Panax ginseng (ginseng). Its description in RNAcentral is "long non-coding RNA (PGIN_LNC018565)". Lineage: Eukaryota; Viridiplantae; Streptophyta; Magnoliopsida; Apiales; Araliaceae. The record is from RNAcentral.
UUGAACUUAAUACAUUCCUCAAUGCAAAUGUUGAAAAAGAAAGAUUAAAGAUAACAUAACACUGCUAAAGAAAAACAUGUUUGCAAUCCCAUAGGAAAUAAGCCAAUGUUUCCUCACUCCUCACUGCAUCUGCUCUGUAAAAUAAGCUCCAAAACAUGUUUGCAAUCCCAUCUUCUCAGUCCAAGAAUGGCAUGACAUCCUGUGCAAAUAGAUUCAUAAAUUUGUCAUUAUAUAUUUAUAUAUGGUAGAACUGUGCUUUCAAUUUUUAUAAUAAUGAAAUAGCUAUCUCAAUAAUAACUGUUAUCUCAAUAAUAAGUGCUAAAAUACCCCAAAUAUGUCACACACCUAACUCGGUUCGCUUACUGCAGAAUCAAACAAGUUACUAUUCUAAUUUUAUAGCACAUGUGCCACCCUACUGGGUUCACCAACCAGUGCCUAAUCACAACCUCGAGUUGAGAAAUGCCAAAAUAAUUAAGCAAAAUCAUGCAUCAGUGACAAACACUUUUAACUCAAUCACCCCCCCCCAUUUAUCUGGAAUAUCAACAUAGCAAAUAUAUUUAUAACUAGUCAUUAGAGAAUCACAUACAAUACCUCUAUCGAAUCUACAGUUGAUGAAAAUGACUGAUGGAGCCAGAUUUGCAUGACAAAGCAAAAUCUUCAACAGAACAAGCGUAGCAUCACAAUAUUUAUCGACCACCUUUUUUUGACAAGUGAUGCAUCACCGAUCAUCUUUCAGUCUUGUUUUCACUAAAGCAAAAGAAACAACUUAAAACUAAAUUCACAUUGACAAAUCAAUUGAUACUUGUACUUCAAAAUAUCACUUAACUGAGAUUUCAGCUUGUAGCAAAAUUAUCUCCAGUUCAACAGAGCUUCGAGCAAUCUACAUUAAUAUGAGCCAGAAAUAGAUUAUAAGAGAAAGUAAAUCAAUGGUUGUUGCAAUAAGUUAAUUAAUGAAAAUGAUGCAUAGUCUUGUGGGCUUUGAUACCCAAAACAAAGAAGAUUAUGAACCUCUGCAUAACCCGAUUCGAUUAUUUGUCUAUAAAAUCUUAUUUAUCAACACAAAUAUCCGCAGUUCAGCACUUAGCAGUGUCAUAUCACAUUUCAUUUUGAAUAAUUUUGACAAGCAUGAAUUGAAGAAACAUGCUAAAAAAUAAAAUACCCACCACAAGCAUGAUUUAAAACAAUUCAGUCCACAUAUACUCCCAAAACAAUUCAGUCCAAUAAAACAAUUUGCUUCACAAAUCAAAAAUAACUAGAAACUCUAGAAUCCUCCAGUUAUACUCCCAAUUCAGUCCACAUAUCAAUUCAGUAUUCACAAUCCAAGCACAGAUUUAUUGCCACUGUUCCAGUUUUACUCCCAAUUCAGUCCACAUCUUCUCUUCUUUUCCGAAAUUGCAGGGUUUUACCAAAAUUGAACAAAUUUAGUAACCCCAACAAAAGAUUUCAUCCAAUAAAUUAAGAACAUAAAUAUAAAAAAAAACCAUAACAUAGCAGAAACAAAAACUGAACAUAACAGUCUAGCAGAAGUGCAGAACACAUAGACACAUAGUUAAGAACUUAAGACUGAAAAACAAAGAGAAAACGAAGGGAAAAAGGUAGAUCGGCAUGGAUGUGGACGAUCGAUCGAAGUGUAGAGAAGAAGAAGCUACCUGUAGGGAAGAAGAAGCUACACAGACGUGAGACGUCACUCGUGACUCGUCAAUCGACGACUCAGCGUGGACAGCGUAGUCGAUCGAUCGAAGAAACUUGAGGAGUGAGGACUGAGGAGUGAGGACUCUCUCGCGACUCGUCUGACGUCUCCACUCUCGCCUCUCGGUCUCUCUCUCACUUAGUCACUUCUUAGUUUUAUCAUAUCUGAAAUCUAGAAUAAGGGUUAGCAACUUAGCACUUUGCCUUAGCCAAUUAGCCAAAAA